AAGGGAAGGGAGAAGAAAUGUGUGGGAAAUAUCAGAAAGGGAUACAGAACAUGAAGACUCCUAACUCUGGGAAACGAGCUAGGGGUGGUGGAAUGGGAGUAGGGCGGGGGGUGGGGGUGAAUGGGCGACAGGCACUGAGGGGGACACUUGACGGGAUGAGCACUGGGUGUUAUUCUGUAUGUUGGUAAAUUGAACACCAAUAAAAAAUUAUUUUAUUAAAAAAAAAAGGCAGACUCUCAACCCCUGAGCCACCUAGGUGCCCCUCUUAGCCCAUUUUCUUUCGUCUACAUGUUAUGAUGCUAGAUUCUUGCUGCUGUUGUAAUUCUAGGUGGCUGUAAGGAUGCUCCAGGGAUUUCUGUACCAAUUCUGAAUUCAAUAAGUUGGAAAAUAAUUCUUUAAAUGAGUAGAUAAAUAUACAAAUAAUAACAUCCUUCCAAACCCAAGAAUAUUAGGUUGCAAAUUUUUAAUACUAGGCUUGAUCUUUUACUGGCAAUGACCUAAAUCCGGAAAAUAUAUCCUGUCUAAACUUUCUGCAACCAACUAACAACUACAAAAGACAGUCUAAAUCAUGAUGAUUUUCUUUUUCUUUUUUUAAGAUUUUAUUUAUUUAUACAUGAGAGACACAGAAAGAGAGAAAGAGAGGCAGAGACAUAGGCAGAGGGAGAAGCAGACUCCCUCCGGGACUCGAUCUGCAGACUCCAGGAUCACAACCUGAGCCAAAGGCAGACACUCAACCACUGAGCCACCCAGGCGUCCCAAUCAUGAUGAUUUUCAAGUUCCCUGAGGCUGUCCACACAUUGAGACUGAGACAGCCUCCUCUGCUUCAGGAGGAAGGACAAGAUCCAAACAAGAACAAAGGAAUGUGCCUUGUGCCUUCGAAAAAUGCCAUUGAAGCCCUUUUCAGAGACAACAGUUGCAAAAAGGUAAAACUAAACUUUUCUAGGUGAAAAGGGGAUCUGCAAAUCUAGUGAGGCCAGACUUCUUGGGGUCUAGGUUUAUAAACUGAAUCAUAGGUAAUGAAGAUGGGGAUAAAAUACGUUAACCUCCCUUGCUCAAAGGAAGACGUGCAAACCAUUCCUGGCCUGGAAAGGAUGUAGAAGAGAUUCAAGACCCAGUGCCUGACCCACCCUCAUGU
Molecule: long non-coding RNA, 1135 nt
Filed under: Canis lupus familiaris (dog)
Lineage: Eukaryota; Metazoa; Chordata; Mammalia; Carnivora; Canidae
Description: lncRNA (ENSCAFG00040002679.1)
Source: RNAcentral